GCACCACUCUGUUCUUCUGAAAUUUUACUCGCAGUCGCAGAUCUCCCCAAAGCUUAAAAUGGAGAAUAAGCAAUUGGACGUAUCGCCAGCAAAAGCAGUCUUAUUAGGAGCGCUAGCUCCUGGUGUUAACGGUCCUACAUGGAAUACACUGAAAUCAGCGUUUCUGAUGCUGGGUUCUUGCCUUGCUGUGAUGCUUGGCUUAGCCUUCUCUUCAAGUGACUCUUCUUUGAUACUUCAUGUUGGGUUUCUUGUUCUAAUAGCUGCCACCCUCUUCUUGCUUCUUAGCUGGU
Molecule: unclassified non-coding RNA, 290 nt
Filed under: Hevea brasiliensis (rubber tree)
Lineage: Eukaryota; Viridiplantae; Streptophyta; Magnoliopsida; Malpighiales; Euphorbiaceae
Source: RNAcentral